GUAGUAGCAAAGCACGUGCUUUCUCGUGGGCUUGCAUCAUUCUCGUCUUAUGUCAUUCCAUCAUGAACGAUCUGGCGCGCGAUACGAGCUAGUCUUUUGAUCAGCGGCCACUUUUCCUACUUAUCAGCUCGAUGACGUUUCUUGAAAUCUUAUUUAUCGGACUCAACGUCGAGACGGAGCAUAACGUGGUGAGGAAAUGCUUCACGAGCAAAAAGAGCCCACAGCGAGUCUCUCGAAGAGAGAUAUCUUGCUUACAUCAUUUAUCUCAGGUGCCCU
This is a long non-coding RNA of Cyphomyrmex costatus, 276 nucleotides long. RefSeq lists it as uncharacterized. The record is from RefSeq and is a predicted model, not a curated record. The transcript has 3 exons. NCBI's taxonomy places the organism in Eukaryota, Metazoa, Arthropoda, Insecta, Hymenoptera, Formicidae.